RNAcentral lists this ribosomal RNA (415 nucleotides) under uncultured bacterium. RNAcentral describes it as "partial 16S ribosomal RNA". It matches the Rfam family "Bacterial small subunit ribosomal RNA", at positions 355 to 766 of the family's 1533-position model. The record is from RNAcentral.
UGAGGAAUAUUGGACAAUGGGUUAGCGCCUGAUCCAGCCAUCCCGCGUGAAGGACGACGGCCCUAUGGGUUGUAAACUUCUUUUGUAUAGGGAUAAACCUACUCUCGUGAGAGUAGCUGAAGGUACUAUACGAAUAAGCACCGGCUAACUCCGUGCCAGCAGCCGCGGUAAUACGGAGGGUGCAAGCGUUAUCCGGAUUUAUUGGGUUUAAAGGGUCCGUAGGCGGAUCUGUAAGUCAGUGGUGAAAUCUCAUAGCUUAACUAUGAAACUGCCAUUGAUACUGCAGGUCUUGAGUAAAUUUGAAGUGGCUGGAAUAAGUAGUGUAGCGGUGAAAUGCAUAGAUAUUACUUAGAACACCAAUUGCGAAGGCAGGUCACUAAGAUUUAAACUGACGCUGAUGGACGAAAGCGUGGGG